GAAAUGCGAUACGCAAUGCGAAUUGCAGAAUUCCGCGAAUCAUCAGAUUCUUGAACGCAACUGGCGCUGGAGGGAUAUCCUUCCAGCAUGUCUGUUUCAGUGUCUGAAAACAUCCAAAUCACUUUAAUGUGUUUGACAAGGAGCAUUCUUUGAUAGAUUGAUUUCCAAGUCUUCCAUGAAAGAUGUAUGUGUGGGUCUUUGGAUCCAUCGAAUUGGUCACUGAUUCAUCGUGAUUUCGAUAGGGUAUUACCAAUUACUCGAACACACAUAGAAUUCAUAUAUCCAUGUAAUAUACUUUAUCAUCUGCAUCUGAAAUCAGACAAGAAAACCCGCUGAACUUAA
This 342-nucleotide unclassified non-coding RNA is filed under the name uncultured fungus. Its description in RNAcentral is "sequence contains ITS1". The stretch from base 1 to 105 matches the Rfam family "5.8S ribosomal RNA", at positions 50 to 154 of the family's 154-position model. The record is from RNAcentral. Lineage: Eukaryota; Fungi.